RNAcentral lists this ribosomal RNA (465 nucleotides) under Vreelandella stevensii. RNAcentral describes it as "partial 16S ribosomal RNA". It matches the Rfam family "Bacterial small subunit ribosomal RNA", at positions 338 to 795 of the family's 1533-position model. Lineage: Bacteria; Pseudomonadati; Pseudomonadota; Gammaproteobacteria; Oceanospirillales; Halomonadaceae. The record is from RNAcentral.
CCUACGGGUGGCUGCAGUGGGGAAUAUUGGACAAUGGGCGAAAGCCUGAUCCAGCCAUGCCGCGUGUGUGAAGAAGGCCUUCGGGUUGUAAAGCACUUUCAGUGGGGAAGAAAGCCUUGGGGCUAAUACCCUCGAGGAAGGACAUCACCCACAGAAGAAGCACCGGCUAACUCCGUGCCAGCAGCCGCGGUAAUACGGAGGGUGCGAGCGUUAAUCGGAAUUACUGGGCGUAAAGCGCGCGUAGGCGGUCUGAUAAGCAGGUUGUGAAAGCCCCGGGCUCAACCUGGGAACGGCAUCCGGAACUGUCAGGCUAGAGUGCAGGAGAGGAAGGUAGAAUUCCCGGUGUAGCGGUGAAAUGCGUAGAGAUCGGGAGGAAUACCAGUGGCGAAGGCGGCCUUCUGGACUGACACUGACGCUGAGGUGCGAAAGCGUGGGUAGCAAACAGGAUUAGAUACCCGGGUAGUC